Molecule: ribosomal RNA, 263 nt
Filed under: uncultured Staphylococcus sp.
Lineage: Bacteria; Bacillati; Bacillota; Bacilli; Caryophanales; Staphylococcaceae
Description: partial 16S ribosomal RNA
Rfam family: Bacterial small subunit ribosomal RNA
Source: RNAcentral
CGGACGGGUGAGUAACACGUGGAUAACCUACCUAUAAGACUGGGAUAACUUCGGGAAACCGGAGCUAAUACCGGAUAAUAUAUUGAACCGCAUGGUUCAAUAGUGAAAGACGGUUUUGCUGUCACUUAUAGAUGGAUCCGCGCUGCAUUAGCUAGUUGGUAAGGUAACGGCUUACCAAGGCAACGAUGCGUAGCCGACCUGAGAGGGUGAUCGGCCACACUGGAACUGAGACACGGUCCAGACUCCUAAGGGAGGCAGCAGGG